CUCAUGGCCAUGGAGAAGGGAAGUGUGAAGGAUAUUCAAGGAAAAACUCUGGAUGAAAUUGGUGGUAUGCAUGGUUUAUAUGUUGUUAAAUCGGCUUGGUGUUUGUGAAUAUGGUUGGUCUAAUAACAUUUUUUCAAUUUUAUAGAUGACAUAGAUGGGAUGGCUACUGGAUCACAGCAACUCCCUGAUGCUUCCACAUCAUGAGAUGACCAGGGGAAUGAUGCCUGUGUGACUUCUGGUUCACCUCCUGUCCCUGACUCAGUUACUAAAGGUUUACGUGUUUCAUCAAGGCGGUGUGUGAAGAGACCAUGGUCUGAGGAGGAGAUAGGAGCGGUGAUGAAACAUAUGAAGCCUUUUAUUGAAAACGGUAUCACUGUCACCAACCAGCAGUGUCUGAAGUGCAAAGAAAAGGAACAACCUAUCUUGGAGA
This is a long non-coding RNA of Oreochromis aureus, 430 nucleotides long. NCBI's taxonomy places the organism in Eukaryota, Metazoa, Chordata, Actinopteri, Cichliformes, Cichlidae. The record is from Ensembl.